AUGAACGCUGGCGGCGUGCCUAAUACAUGCAAGUCGAGCGAACAGACGAGGAGCUUGCUCCUCUGACGUUAGCGGCGGACGGGUGAGUAACACGUGGAUAACCUACCUAUAAGACUUGGAUAACUUCGGGAAACCGGAGCUAAUACCGGAUAAUAUAUUGAACCGCAUGGUUCAAUAGUGAAAGACGGUUUUGCUGUCACUUAUAGAUGGAUCCGCGCCGCAUUAGCUAGUUGGUAAGGUAACGGCUUACCAAGGCAACGAUGCGUAGCCGACCUGAGAGGGUGAUCGGCCACACUGGAACUGAGACACGGUCCAGACUCCUACGGGAGGCAGCAGUAGGGAAUCUUCCGCAAUGGGCGAAAGCCUGACGGAGCAACGCCGCGUGAGUGAUGAAGGUCUUCGGAUCGUAAAACUCUGUUAUUAGGGAAGAACAAAUGUGUAAGUAACUAUGCACGUCUUGACGGUACCUAAUCAGAAAGCCACGGCUAACUACGUG
Molecule: ribosomal RNA, 496 nt
Filed under: uncultured bacterium
Lineage: Bacteria
Description: partial 16S ribosomal RNA
Rfam family: Bacterial small subunit ribosomal RNA
Source: RNAcentral